This 455-nucleotide unclassified non-coding RNA is filed under the name Hevea brasiliensis (rubber tree). The record is from RNAcentral. Lineage: Eukaryota; Viridiplantae; Streptophyta; Magnoliopsida; Malpighiales; Euphorbiaceae.
AAAAAAAAAAAAAAAGCUUGCUCCUAAUAUAAUCUUUCAAUACAAACCAAUCAAGACAAAGCAUAUCCAUUUUGUCUACCAGUAAAAAAAGGGUUAACAUUGUUGGGAAUGUUAUACCAAAGUGGAAAAUAUAAGAUUGAAAGGGCAGAUACAAAUGGCUGGGUUGCAAUAUUGAGAUGGCUAGUCAUUUAAUAAACUCAUAUAAUUUAACUAGCAAUCCUUCCUUCAUAUUAAUAUGGUAUGAGAACCCUAUUUGGGUGUGUGCAUUUCAGGCCGAUUGCUUAUUCCAUUGGAAAAAUAUAAGAUUGAGGAUAAAUAAAAGUGAUUGGGUUGCAAGUUGAUGUGUGAAGGAAGUUAAUCAUUUAUAUAAACUCGAAUUAAUAAUGAAUAAAAAUGUAAUUUAAACAACACUUUCUGUCUAAAUUUAACAAACGUGCCAAAAAUGUGACGCAAAA